RNAcentral lists this long non-coding RNA (249 nucleotides) under Rattus norvegicus (Norway rat). RNAcentral's name for it is "long non-coding RNA NONRATT016539". Lineage: Eukaryota; Metazoa; Chordata; Mammalia; Rodentia; Muridae. The record is from RNAcentral.
GACUGUACUGCUGGUGGUGGCCUGCACUACCACCCGAGGCCAGGAAGACAUCCAGCUGGGAGUCCUUUUUGUGGUGUGUGCUGUCACCUAAGACCACGUGGAGGCCAUGAUCUGUGCCCCUGCUGGGAAGAGUAAGAGAGCUACUUUUGUGAUAUCAGUGACUGCAGAUGCAUAGCCGAGAGGGAGAAACAUGGAAGACUUUCGUGACAACACCCUGCAAAGUAACAGCUUAGACAAGAAGCUGCUGAA